RNAcentral lists this ribosomal RNA (504 nucleotides) under uncultured bacterium. RNAcentral describes it as "partial 16S ribosomal RNA". It matches the Rfam family "Bacterial small subunit ribosomal RNA", at positions 30 to 523 of the family's 1533-position model. The record is from RNAcentral.
AUUGAACGCUGGCGGCAGGCCUAACACAUGCAAGUCGAACGGUAGCACAGAGAGCUUGCUCUUGGGUGACGAGUGGCGGACGGGUGAGUAAUGUCUGGGAAACUGCCCGAUGGAGGGGGACAACUACUGGAAACGGUGGCUAAUACCGCAUAACGUCUUCGGACCAAAGUGGGGGACCUUCGGGCCUCACACCAUCGGAUGUGCCCAGAUGGGAUUAGCUAGUAGGUGGGGUAAUGGCUCACCUAGGCGACGAUCCCUAGCUGGUCUGAGAGGGUGACCAGCCACACUGGAACUGAGACACGGUCCAGAUGCCUACGGGAGGCAGCAGUGGGGAAUAUUGCACAAUGGGCGCAAGCCUGAUGCAGCCAUGCCGCGUGUAUGAAGAAGGCCUUCGGGUUGUAAAGUACUUUCAGCGGGGAGGAAGGCGUUAAGGUUAAUAACCUUGGCGAUUGACGUUACCCGCAGAAGAAGCACCGGCUAACUCCGUGCCAGCAGCCGCCGUAA